RNAcentral lists this ribosomal RNA (539 nucleotides) under uncultured bacterium. RNAcentral's name for it is "bacterial SSU rRNA". It matches the Rfam family "Bacterial small subunit ribosomal RNA", at positions 777 to 1314 of the family's 1533-position model. The record is from RNAcentral.
AAUAGAUACCCGGGUAGUCCACGCCGUAAACGAUGAAUGCUAGGUGUUAGGGGUUUCGAUACCCUUGGUGCCGAAGUUAACACAUUAAGCAUUCCGCCUGGGGAGUACGGCCGCAAGGCUGAAACUCAAAGGAAUUGACGGGGACCCGCACAAGCAGUGGAGUAUGUGGUUUAAUUCGAAGCAACGCGAAGAACCUUACCAGGUCUUGACAUCCCCCUGACCGGCGCAGAGAUGUGCCUUUCCUUCGGGACAGGGGAGACAGGUGGUGCAUGGUUGUCGUCAGCUCGUGUCGUGAGAUGUUGGGUUAAGUCCCGCAACGAGCGCAACCCUUGACUUUAGUUGCCAGCAAGUAAGGUUGGGCACUCUAGAGUGACUGCCGGUGACAAACCGGAGGAAGGUGGGGAUGACGUCAAAUCAUCAUGCCCCUUAUGACCUGGGCUACACACGUACUACAAUGGCCGGUACAACGGGAAGCGAAGGAGCGAUCUGGAGCGAAUCCUUUAAAGCCGGUCUCAGUUCGGAUUGCAGGCUGCAACUCG